RNAcentral lists this unclassified non-coding RNA (228 nucleotides) under uncultured fungus. RNAcentral's name for it is "sequence contains ITS1, 5.8S rRNA gene". The stretch from base 180 to 228 matches the Rfam family "5.8S ribosomal RNA", at positions 1 to 49 of the family's 154-position model. The record is from RNAcentral. Lineage: Eukaryota; Fungi.
UCUCCGUAGGUGAACCUGCGGAGGGAUCAUUACUGAGUGAGGGUUUAACCGCCCGACCUCCAACCCUUUGUGAAUCGUACUCGUUGCUUCGGGGGCGACCCGGCCUUCGGGCGUCGGGGCCCCCGGUGGACCACCCAACCCUGCAUCGUUGCGUCUGAGUCGAAAUAUAAAUCAAUCAAAACUUUCAACAACGGAUCUCUUGGUUCUGGCAUCGAUGAAGAACGCAGC